This is a long non-coding RNA of Grus americana (Whooping crane), 5444 nucleotides long. RefSeq lists it as uncharacterized. The transcript has 10 exons. NCBI's taxonomy places the organism in Eukaryota, Metazoa, Chordata, Aves, Gruiformes, Gruidae. The record is from RefSeq and is a predicted model, not a curated record.
AUGACUGAAUCAUCAUCACCACAAAGAUGUAUCCACAUUAGUGCACAUGAUCUCUUUUUAGGACAGUUGUAGCUUACAAAAAGUUUUUGAACCAAAAAUUUUCUGUCUGGAUAAAUACAUGAGUAGAAAUACAUUAGGUGCUUUAAAAAACUUUAUGCUGCAUCUAUGUCCUCUACCAGCAGGUAUGUUCCUGGUGCCCAGCUGUGGUAUGUGAGGUGGUUAAAGGCGCUGACAAUUCUCUGGAAAAAUAGAAGCAAGGGUUAUCAGUUUCAAAAAUGAAAUUCAGCUGAAGGAAUCAGAUCUCAACAGAUCUGAUUUUCUACCAUCUGUGGCAAAAAUCCAUGCUCCACAAAUUGGGGUCCUUUUAAGAUACUUGUCAAACAAUUUUUUUUUUUUUUUUUAAUACGUAAAGCCUAGAAACUAUUUGCCUAAAGUUUCCUAAAGUUUCCUGGGCUUCUGUCUACACCUGUAUCUAUUGUAAUGCCCACCAUCUUAUUCAUCAUCUUGGGGCUUUUUCUUUUCAACAUUGGUGAUAAAUACAGAGUGUUAAAAAGGUCUUGAUUUGGUAAUGGUUAUUAACACAGUUCCUGCUGAAGCAGUUCUGUUGGAUACUACGGAUUGGAAAUUAUAAAUGGUAAGAACAGGAGAGUAGAUAACAUUUGGUAAUAUUUUACCAAAAUUUCAUCUUUUUCACUGUUUCAAUACCAACUUCAGGUAAAUGUAAUUACCUCUGUGAUAAAAAAAAUUAGAAAGUUUCAUGGGUUACAGUUUUUGUGUAUAAUCAGACCCAAACACCAAUUUGUGGCCUUAUCAUGCUGCUUUCUCCUUGCUUCUAUAUUAAAAUGGAAAUUUUCUGAGCUUUUGUAGAAACUGCUACACUUUUUCCCUGAACAAGAAGGAUGGUGUCUCGGGGAGAGCCCUGAUGGUGUCUCUGGGGACUUGGAUGCCGUUUCUUCUUCAGGAUCUCUCUGCUGUAGGACAAGCAUUUUACAUAGCCCUGUUCCUGGGUUGCUGCCUCUGAGAUAAAGAGACCUUCCAGGACUGGAAGACUGGCUAAGGCUGAACACUGGGUUCAGGAGAGUGCUUGGAUGGCCUUGCUGUUUGUUCUGGGGAAAUUUUAAUGAUCCAGGAGAACGUGUGGAUGACACAAAGCAUCACACAGCCUUGACCCAACAGGCUGAUUCACUGCUGACAAAAAGCAGUGUAGCUGCUCAGCUGUGCGCUCUGUGGAUCUGGCCCCAGCAAGUGGUAGCCACCGGUCUAAACUGGAAUGUAUAAGCUGGCAUGCUUGAUUCUCUCUGCAGCUUUGAAACCCCUUGGUUUGGCUGGGUGCACUGCUGCCCGAGACCUUUCGACUGUUUGCAAGCGUGGGGCCAGAAGACACGGAUGCAGGUCAGGAACGGGGACCCAGCAGAAGGCUCAGAAGACUUGAGCUCAUGGGAUGCUGGUUCCGGGCUAUGGCAGCCAGAAGGACCAUCAACACCAGGACCACGAAGCUCAACCCUGGUAACGUGAUGAUGGAGUCAAAAUGACUGCUUUGCCUCAGCUAUAUGUAUCUUGGAGCUGGAUUUUUCUAUGAAGUCUGUGGAAGCUUGUUACUAUGUUAAAUGCCCAGCUUUCAGUAAAUCCACACCUGAAGUAAAAAACCCCAAACACAACGUAACCAUGACACAAGGUAACUAUUAUGUCCAUUAGAAAAAGACAUUUGUGUUGUUGACAUUGGAAAGGAGGAUGCAAUCUUCAGACAUCCAUGCCAGUAUUUUCGGUAAGAACAUUUUUAUUGAAAAGUAAAACUAGGAUUGAGCUUUGUUUGGUUGAUUUUUUUUUUUUUAUUUUUGUCCAAAUAGAAACUUCCAAAAAGGAAUCCAAGUGAGCGCUAUAAAUUAUUUUAUAAAACAACUGUAGGUUAUAUAUUACAAAACAACUAAACGAAACUAACCAGAAAGCCCUGGGAUUAAGCAGAUGAGAAGCCCAUUCCAGAUGGAAAACAGCUCAAGAGCCAGAGCUGCCCAGAGUCCAGAAUGCUCUGUCAAAAUUAGGUUAUAUUAGUGUACUCUUGAAAAGGAGGUUUGGAAAAGAGGCAGAGUUAAGACAGCAGUUAUACUGUGUUUGACAGGCUAAAUGGAAUACAUUUCCUAGCUCCAAAUGGCUGCACAGUGCUCCUGUAAUGGGUGUUUUGCUCAAAGCAUAAUGAGAAGAGGGAAAAUUAUUUCAUUUGUCCAGACAAUAAUCAAUCACUUCCAGGAAAAGAAGUCUUUCAUGAUUUUCCAACAGCCAUAGGAGUUGUUAAACACAUUAGUUAGUUGUACAAAUUGCCUUAUGAAAGAAAAAAAUGAAAAGUUAUUGUUAUUAGAGAAACAAGAUGCACAAAAUUAAUCUGUAAAUUUAUAAUCAUUCUUAGUCAUUCUGCUGUCUUUGUGCCUCGAUACAUGCCUUUAUUCUUUAUUGUCUCUAAACUGCCAAUAGCUGUAAAAGCAUGAAAGCAAUAGAAAGGAUGGAGAAGUCUCACAAGAAAAGGGAUUUUUCAUCUGGCAACAUGUCCAGCCCAAAAGCCAUAAAGGUCUUUCCUGAAACUUUAGGAUUGCAAAAGUUUACUGAGUUUUGCCAGAUUACUUGCUUCUGAUGGAAAUUCCCAAAUGGUACUGGUGGUUUCUGGACAGUGAUAUAAACUAUUACACAAGGUGAUGGUAGGCAAAUGAUUACAAAGGACUUGCACAGCUAUGAUAUCCAAGAAUUUCUGAGUGCCUAAAUCUGUAUUGUCUUCUCUAGUCAUGAGAAUAUUAUCACUCCCAAAUUUAAACAGCAGGAAAGCUGAAUCAUAGGAAAGUCAGUCUUGUUCCCAUUGAAGCCAACACUAUAAUGCCUUUGGUGCAUGGGAUGCAAGACUGAACCUGGGAUAGUCAGGAUUUGAUUUUGCAUGCCUAUGAGCACUUAAAAAAAAAGGGCAGAGAAAUUAUCCUUUAUUUCAGGGCAGAUGGGCUGCACACUCUGAAAGCCACUUUACUCAGGGAGCAUAAGAAUGGAUUCAGUACUUCUAUCUUUCCUAGACUUUCCAGGGGCUUGGACAGGGGGAAAAAAAUAAUGAUCCCAAACUAAUCUCCCCAAGUCCAAAAGAAAAAAAAAAAAAGAUGUCCGUGAACCACGUAAAAGAGAGGAAGUUAGUGGGUGUGCUAAUUAGCAGCUUCCAGGAGUCAUUUCACAUCCAGGAAUUUCCUACAGGCAACAUUGUGUCUAAAUGCAAAGCUCCGAUAUUUUGCAAAGGCUCCUGGAAAGGCCCCCUGCGCAGAUUAAUACCAGGUAAAGUUGUUACCGAAGCAGCGAUGGAUGGGGAGACUCAGCUGUGGUCCUGAACAAGCCUACGCGGCGCUGCCCUGCUUUGCAGGUGGCAGGGAAGUCGUGUGUCUGGCGUAGGGCGCUCCUUUCAAUGCCACCUCAAUCAGUCUGCUCUCUCGGAAAAGACUGGCUUCAUUAAAAUAGUAAGUCAGUUCGGAAGCAGAUAGCUCUAAUGCGUAGGUUUAGGUAUUACGUGACUGCGUGUCAGUUUUACGGACAUAAUCCUGCAGUUUUAACUGGGCUUCUUAAUUUCACCUAAAAAAAAGCCAACUGAAUUCCUCCAACCCCAUUUAAUACCCAUCUCUGUGUGCAGCUUCACUUUAUGUUUCUUAUAACAAAAAGGCUUUUAAAGUUGAUAAAUGGCUGCAAAGAUUUUGCUUUUACUUUGUUGCUUUUCUGUUUAUUUAACCAAGAGCAGUUCUUUUAGUCCUGACCUCAGCCUUGUCAAAUAGACUGUGUUUGUCAAACUGCUCAUGCUCCCAUUAACUCCUAGCUGUUUCAAUUGUCAUGUUUGAUGAAUGGCUCAAAUACUGCUAGCAUCAUUAAAAGCAGGGAUACUGAGGGAAGUAUUAUGUUAUGCUGAGUCCAAAUACACACCAUAAAUAGGAAAAUUCCAAGCAAAGAAAAUCUUUUAUUGCAUAAAGGAAAUUGCAAGUGGUUUAAAACUAAUCUCUUUUAAUGCCAUCUUUCAUAUGUGCAGGAGACAAGAAAAAGCCCCUCAGGUUUCAUGGUCGGUAUUAUCUCUUUAUGGUUGAAGAGCAUUAGUAGCUUUAUAACCUUAUUUAUACAGAGUUCCUGCGAGUGUUUGGGUCUGCUUGGGGGAACGGGCCUGCUUAGCGCGAAGAGAAGCGACAGAACCGUUCCCACAGCGCUCUGUAGGUCCAAAGGGUCUGUCCCUUCCCAAAACAGAGCCCGCUGUGGCUGUAAGCCAGGGCUUCCGCUAAACGAAGCCGUGCAGCACAAUUGCUCCGCGUUAUUCCCCCGGCUCCGAGACUGAGGGAGGCACAGCAGCUCCGGGGUGCACGGUGCUGGGCGUCCUGGCCCCCAUCCAGCCGUGCCCCGAGCUCUGCCCGCCUGAGCGAUGCCACAAGCAGCAGAGCGCAGCGGUGGGCUGUGGGCUCCCAGCCAGUUACCCCUGCCAGGGCCGGGGGGGGGCAGCUGUCCCCACCGAAACCGUGCUCCUGACGGCUGACUGCACCGCCUGGAUUCAAACCACCCCUCUCAGCCCACACACCCGUGGUAUGACUGUAUAUAAUUGUGAAUGUGUGUUUCUAUCCUGAGGUGCAUCAGUCAUGUGAAUUCUCAGCCCACCCAGCUUCACUGAGCACUUCUGUCUGGAAACAUCUUGGGAGCAGCUUUCUUCUGAGCUACCUCUUGCUUGCUGCUUUUGCUUGAGCAUCCUAGAAAUUCAGGGAACUUCUUGACUUCAAAGAUUUACAACUGAGCAUCCCAUAUGGAACAUCUGAUUCUGGUUCCAGUGAUUUUUCCCUGGUGAGAAGACCCCGGUAAGCAGACCUGGAGCAGUUCCCAGGCUUCCACGCUGCACGGUUCAAGGGCAUCUGAUCAAACAGGCUCUUUUAGAGCAGAAGACUUUGGGAUUUCUGGGCUUGGAGACAGACUGUUUCAGAGCUAGGUGCCUAUUCCCUCUCCUAGAGAAUUUUAAAGGAAACAAAAUUUAACACAUUGAAAUACUUAGUGAAGCAGAAUUGUUUUUUUCUGCUCUGGACUAGAUGGCUGUUACUACAGGCACCAUUACAGAAUGCUAUGUUAUAUUGUCUUUUAUGAAAUUAUGGAAAAUAAUUAAGUAGAAAAGCAGGGGGGGGAAAGUCUAAGCAGUCAGCAGGCAGAUCUCUCUCUCUCUUUUUUUUUUUUUUUUUUUUUUAAGCUUGGAUAGUGUCUGGUAUUGCUUUCCACCAGGACACUGGGAUGCUUUUUUUCCCUAAUGAACUUUUUACAUCCGAGAUGAAAUACAGAUUCUGUGGACAAUUUAUUAAGAAAAACACCAGUUUCAUGUGAGCAGUUUUCAGACCAACAGGGAAUUUAUAUGUGGAAAUCAUAUAUGGCUAUAGGGAAACACCUUGUAAAAAGAAUGACUACAUGGUCAGCAGCUG